CUCUCAUGUUAUGUGAUUGACUUCAGACCACUUCAUCACUUCGGUUUCCACCGGUGAGCUCAUACGGUAAAGGGAGGGAAACUCAAAUGGAGUGCACUACUCGGACCAGUAAGGGGCGCUGGUGUAAGCCCAUACGAUCUUUGACCGUGUGGCGCUUGCAAGUGAAACUGAGCUGGCAUUCAAAUGAAGAAAGGGCUUUCCACAGGUGUGAGAGGGACCUGUUCUCUAUGUUCUUCCUGUCUAAAUGGAUACGAGGCUAUGGAGUGGGGCAGCGCUCUCACUGGGACAUACACGGUGUGUUGAGGUCACACACAAACCUAUAUAAACCAAACUUUGGUUUCUGAGAUCAGGUCUUUAUGAAUGUGAUGACAUGGAACAUGAUACGACGCUGCUACUGGGUUAGCUGAUACCGACCGAAGAAAUGUCUCAGAAUAAGAUCACUGAGUAAGGCUGCAUGAUAUUCACAAAAACAUACUGUGAUUAUACCACUACUCACUACAAUUGAAACAUGGUUUGCAAUGUAAAAAACAUGCAUGUAAACCACAGGUCUGUAGAUUGAUUUGCAUUGUUCUGACGAAAAUUAUUUAUGGUGAUCAAAUCAUGUGAAUGCUGUGUUUAAUUGAAUGCCUGAGAUGUCCAGAAUGUUUACACCACACAAUUAAAAAUAAUGCUGAUUUGAUUAA
Electrophorus electricus (electric eel) is the source of this 683-nucleotide long non-coding RNA. RefSeq lists it as uncharacterized. The record is from RefSeq and is a predicted model, not a curated record. Lineage: Eukaryota; Metazoa; Chordata; Actinopteri; Gymnotiformes; Gymnotidae.